AGCUCUCCGAGUGGUGUGGAUGGUUAUUGGGCUUAAAGCAUCCGUAGCCUGCUGAGCAAGUCCCCUGUUAAACCCAACGAUCUAAUCGUUGGUCUGCGGGGGAUACUGUUCGGCUAGGGGGCGGGAGAGGCCGCCGGUAUUCUCGGGGUAGGGGUGAAAUCCUAUAAUCCCGGGAGGACCACCAGUGGCGAAGGCUGUCGGCUAGAACGCGCCCGACGGUGAGGGAUGAAAGCUGGGGGAGCGAACC
This 247-nucleotide ribosomal RNA is filed under the name uncultured crenarchaeote. RNAcentral describes it as "partial 16S ribosomal RNA". It matches the Rfam family "Archaeal small subunit ribosomal RNA", at positions 478 to 725 of the family's 1478-position model. The record is from RNAcentral. Lineage: Archaea; Thermoproteati; Thermoproteota.